CGAAGGACUCUGAGCCCGAGGAGGAGUCUGACUCGAGGGGCAGACACCGAGGCAGAAAGAGGCAGUCGACGAGGGAAGACUCGAAACAGAGGCACAAACGGCUCAAACUGAAACCAGCAAGAAGUACGAGCGAGGAAGAGGAGGAAUCGGACGAGGAAGGAGACGCCGGUGUGUCCGACGCGGAAAGGAGACCAGUCCGUAAAAACCUGAACCGUAUCGAAUCGGAUGAGGAAGAAGAGGACGGGGCGGAGAAAAGACCAAUGAGAAAGAUGGCCGGAAAGCAGGCCAGCAGAGUUACAGACUGCAGGGAGAUGAGUGUGAAGGCACACACUAGAGGCUCGAAGGACUCGAUGCUGAAGCACAACGGCCUGCUCCCUCCAAGAUCUUCAGCUCAGGAUGAAGAUGAUGACGAUGAGGAGGAGGAAGAGGAGGAUGAGGAGGAUGACCUCACCGCCACUACAGACUUUGUUAACUUUGUUUUUGACAGCGAACAGUUAUCGUGAUGUGCUGAAGAAAUUUCAUAUAUUAUUUUCUCAUUGCCUUUUUUUUUUUUUUUUAAGGUUUGUUUGUUUGUUUGUUUGUUUGUUUUUUUGAGUGUACUGGACCAAUCCAAGCUUCCAGAGGAAUUUUCACACGAUGUCUAAACAUACUUUAGUUACAUACAUCAUGCACAUGUCAGAUGUAGAGCAGGGUCUCGGUGCACAUCCUGAUUUUUUUAUGAGUGAAAGGUGCGAAAUUUGAAAGUUAGAUUUGAUCAGCUAGUCGCAAACUUGAUCAUAUGACUAGUUUCUCUAAGGUUAGCUGCCCUUUUAGUGGACUUGGCUCAUGGUUUUAAUUCCACAGUGUAUUCCACAAUUUUAAUUCCACAAGAGACUGGAAUGAAUGGGAAUCAUGGGCGAUUGUUUCCAGAGCUGAAAACAUAUGUAAAAAUGCAUAUUCUAAACUUAUAUCGACUGAAGACACUACGGUUCUAUUUCACAUUUUAUAUUUCCCUUUUAAAAGAAGCUUCAAAAAUCAGAAUGAAAACUGUAUAUAGUCUUGAUCUGGUCUGGAUUUUUUUCUUGAGGAAAGGGCAAGUACUCUGACGUGGUCUUUCAUGCCAAGUCAGUCCUCUAGUGAUGGUAAUUAUGGCUGGGGUUUUUUAGCGAGAUGGGUCUUUUAGUUCAGCUCACCAAUAAGGGUCAAAUCUUUUGGUUCCCAAACAGCUGAUUGUCG
This is a long non-coding RNA of Ictalurus punctatus (channel catfish), 1215 nucleotides long. The record is from Ensembl. Lineage: Eukaryota; Metazoa; Chordata; Actinopteri; Siluriformes; Ictaluridae.